CGGAGGGUGCGAGCGUUGUCCGGAAUCACUGGGCGUAAAGGGCGCGUAGGCGGCCUGAUAAGUAGGGGGUGAAAUCCUGCGGCUUAACCGCAGGGCUGCCUUCUAAACUGUCAGGCUAGAGCACAGUAGAGGCAGGUGGAAUUCCCGGUGUAGCGGUGGAAUGCGUAGAGAUCGGGAAGAACAUCAGUGGCGAAGGCGGCCUGCUGGGCUGUUGCUGACGCUGAGGCGCGACAGCGUGGGGAGCAAACAGGAUUAGAUACCCUGGUAGUCCACGCCGUAAACGAUGGGCACUAGGCGUCGGGGGGAGCGACCCUCCCGGUGCCGUCGCUAACGCAGUAAGUGCCCCGCCUGGGGAGUACGGCCGCAAGGCUG
RNAcentral lists this ribosomal RNA (372 nucleotides) under uncultured organism. RNAcentral's name for it is "bacterial SSU rRNA". It matches the Rfam family "Bacterial small subunit ribosomal RNA", at positions 526 to 896 of the family's 1533-position model. The record is from RNAcentral.